This 520-nucleotide ribosomal RNA is filed under the name uncultured Archaeospora. RNAcentral's name for it is "SSU rRNA". It matches the Rfam family "Eukaryotic small subunit ribosomal RNA", at positions 569 to 1094 of the family's 1831-position model. The record is from RNAcentral. Lineage: Eukaryota; Fungi; Glomeromycota; Glomeromycetes; Archaeosporales; Archaeosporaceae.
AGCAGCCGCGGUAAUUCCAGCUCCAAUAGCGUAUAUUAAAGUUGUUGCAGUUAAAAGCUCGUAGUUGAAUUUUAGGCCUGGCCGGGCGGUCCGUCUUUGGCGAGUACUGUCCUGUGUCGGGUCAUCCUUCUGGUGAACCAGUAUGUCCUUUAUUGGGUGUGCCGGGGAGCCAGGACCAUUACCUUGAAAAAAUUAGAGUGUUUAAAGCGGGCAUUUGCUUGAAUAGAUUAGCAUGGAAUAAUAGAAUAGGACGUUGUGGUUCUAUUUUGUUGGUUUCUAGGACCACCGUAAUGAUUAAUAGGGAUAGUUGGGGGCAUUAGUAUUCAAUUGUCAGAGGUGAAAUUCUUGGAUUUAUUGAAGACUAACUAUUGCGAAAGCAUUUGCCAAGGAUGUUUUCAUUAAUCAAGAACGAAAGUUAGGGGAUCGAAGACGAUCAGAUACCGUCGUAGUCUUAACCAUAAACUAUGCCGACUAGGAAUCGGGCGACGUUAUUUUCAUGACUCGCUCGGCGCCUUAUGGG